Molecule: non-coding RNA, 1508 nt
Organism: Macaca mulatta (Rhesus monkey)
Lineage: Eukaryota; Metazoa; Chordata; Mammalia; Primates; Cercopithecidae
Source: RefSeq, a predicted model, not a curated record
CCCGGCCAGAAAUGUUUUUUUUUAAGAAGGCUGUCUACUAGUGGAGUUCCUGGCCUGAGAGGAUAUUACUUUCCAAGGAAAGGAUUUCUUUCAUUAUUUAAGGAGCCACUUAAGCUAAAGAUUCCCUUGAGAACAAGUACUGUCCUGUGGUUUCAUGGCCUUUCUUCCAUUUGUGGUUCUUGCCAAGUGGUAUUUCAAUGACCUCUUAUCAAGAUGGAUAAACCCAAGUUUCCCAGUGCUGGAAUAGAGAAAAUGGAUGGACAACUGGAUCUACCAUGAAAGACUUCUGAAUCCAGGAAGAGAGACUGACUGGGCAACAUGUUAUUCAGAGAUGGGACCUCAAGUGUGUUGCCAGAGCUGACCUUGAACUCCUGCACUCAAGGGAUUUUCCUGCCUUGGCCUCCCAAAGUAUUGGUAUUACAGGCAUGAGCCACUGUGCCCACUAUCUCUGGUUCUUAACCUUCUGCCUCCCUCUUCCACUUUUAAAGAAUGCUUGUAAUUACAUGGACUCUUCUAGAUAUUCCAGGAUAAUCUUGUUUUAAGGUCAGCUGAUUUUCAACAUUAAUUUUAUCUGCACUCUUAAUUCCCCCUUCCUAUGUAAUUGUGCUGUGUAACAUAGGACAUGAACAAUUGGUGGGGGUGGGGGUUAUUACUUUGGCUACCACAGUAACUGUUUUGUGCUAGGUACUGAGCUAAGCACUGGUGAAUUAAGCAUGAAUAACACACUCUCCCUAAUCUCCAUCCAUUCAUGGGAGGAGCACCUCACCUGCCAUGCUCCUGAGAAUCUGGGGAGUCAAGGAAGUCUUCCGUGAGGAGGUGAUGCCAAAGCGGACAAGUGACAGAGGAGCUGAAGCUAGCCAGGAAGAGAGUAGAGGUUUAAGGGGAAGCGUAUUAUAAGCAGAGGGCAUCACCCACUUCAGAGAGUCCCAGAGGAGAAAGAUGAGGCUCAGCUGGACUCCAUAGUAGGUGAAAUGGAGAGGGGCAAGCAGUGAGGCUGCCUUGCAAGGCAGGGCAGAGCAGGGGCUGUUAAGGAGUCUGGACUUAAUCCCGGAGGCAAGGAGAAGUGAUGUAAAUGGGGGAGUAACGUGAUGAGAUUCACGGAUUAGAGACAUGGUUCAGGCUGCUGUAGCGAAGGCACCAGGAGGAGCAGAUGGCUCAGUGGGUGUGCAGGAGACCUCUCACUGAGUUUAGGAAGAGGUUUUUAAAAUAGAAGAAGUUUGAGUAAUUUAAAUGAUGGUGGGAAGGAGCUAAAAGUGGGGGAUAGGUUAAAGAUACAGGAAAGUGGGAGGAAGAACUGACAAGUGAGGUUCCUGAGAGGGCAGGAGAAGAGGAGAUUCCCAUAGGGGGAUUAAUACUUUCUUUUCUUUUUCUAAGACAGGGUCUUACUCUGUCACCUAGGCUGGAGUUCAGUGGCAUGAUCUUGGCUCACUGUAGUGUAGACUUCCCAGGCUCAAGGGAUCCUCCCAUCCCAGACUCCCAAGUAGCUGGAACUACAGGUGUACACCACC